RNAcentral lists this ribosomal RNA (531 nucleotides) under uncultured bacterium. RNAcentral describes it as "bacterial SSU rRNA". It matches the Rfam family "Bacterial small subunit ribosomal RNA", at positions 32 to 534 of the family's 1533-position model. The record is from RNAcentral.
AAUCAACGCUGGCGGCGUGCCUAACACAUGCAAGUCGAACGCGAAAGGGGAGCAAUCCCUGAGUAGAGUGGCAAACGGGUGAGUAACACGUGGGUGACCUGCCUUCGAGUGGGGGAUAACGUUCCGAAAGGAACGCUAAUACCGCAUGACAUCCUGCUUUUGGAGAAGCGGAGAUCAAAGCUGGGGAUUCGCAAGAACCUAGCGCUUGAAGAGGGGCCCGCGCCUGAUUAGCUAGUUGGUGGGGUAACGGCUCACCAAGGCUUCGAUCAGUAUCCGGCCUGAGAGGGCGGACGGACACACUGGGACUGAGACACGGCCCCAGACUCCUACGGGAGGCAGCAGUGGGGAAUUGUUCGCAAUGGGCGCAAGCCUGACGACGCAACGCCGCGUGGAGGAUGAAGAUUUUCGGAUCGUAAACUCCUGUCGAGUGGGAAGAAUAGCUUCCGGGCGAAUAUCCCGGAAGUCUGACGGUACCACUAAAGGAAGCCCCGGCUAACUCCGUGCCAGCAAGCCGCGGUAAUACGGGGGGGG